This 569-nucleotide small RNA is filed under the name Pan troglodytes (chimpanzee). RNAcentral describes it as "retained intron". Lineage: Eukaryota; Metazoa; Chordata; Mammalia; Primates; Hominidae. The record is from RNAcentral.
AGACUAGAGGAGCGCUGUAAGCGCCAUGGCUCCCAAGAAGCUGUCCUGCCUUCGUUCCCUGCUGCUGCCGCUCAGCCUGACGCUACUGCUGCCCCAGGCAGACACUCGGUCGUUCGUAGUGGAUAGGGGUCAUGACCGGUUUCUCCUAGACGGGGCCCCGUUCCGCUAUGUGUCUGGCAGCCUGCACUACUUUCGGGUACCGCGGGUGCUUUGGGGCGACCGGCUUUUGAAGAUGCGAUGGAGCGGCCUCAACGCCAUACAGUUGUAAGAAGUGCUCGCAAGAGCCGCGGAGGGAUGGGAUCUACUUUUUCUACCGCCCCCUUAUAAAGAAGGUCGGGACAGGAAGACUGCCAGGACUCCUAGGCCAAGGGUGGGAAAGGGCAGGCCAGGACCUCCUUCCAACCGCUUCCUGGAGAUUCCCUGCAAGGCCUGAGCCGUUAGGCCUCCCUGGCGUCUCUCCACCUUGGGCCUUAUUAACCUCUUCCUUUCUCAGUUAUGUGCCCUGGAACUACCACGAGCCACAGCCUGGGGUCUAUAACUUUAAUGGCAGCCGGGACCUCAUUGCCUUU